CAAAAACAUGGCUCCUUGAAUGGUAAAAAUAUAUAGGGAGUCGGACCUGCCCGGUGACUAAGAAUGUUAAACGGCCGCGGUACCCUAACCGUGCAAAGGUAGCAUAAUCAUUUGCCUUUUAAUUGGAGGCUUGUAUGAAUGGUUUGACGAGGGCUAAGCUGUCUCUUUUAAAAUAUUUAGAAAUUAACUUUUAGGUGAAGAGGCCUAAAUUUGGCUGAGGGACAAGAAGACCCUGUUGAGCUUUAGUUUUAUGCUAAAUGGAUAUUAUGAUAUUUGUAAUAAGCGUGGACCUAGGUGUAAUGGGAUUUUAGUAUGAAUCUUUAGUUGGGGCGACUGAGGAACAGCUAGAGCUUCCUUUGGUUUAGAAGGGCAAGUGUGUGCCGAAAAAUGGUGUAUUCUUGCAGGUUGUUUUGAUCCAGUAGAAUACUGAUUAAAGGAAAAAGUUACCACAGGGAUAACAGCGUAAUCUUUCUGGAGAGAUCUUAUCGAAAGGAGGGUUUGCGACCUCGAUGUUGGACUAAGAUAUCCUAAGGGUGUAGAAGCUCUUGAUGGUUGGUCUGUUCGACCAUUAAAAUCUUACGUGAUCUGAGUUCAGACCGGA
Molecule: ribosomal RNA, 601 nt
Filed under: Monodonta labio
Lineage: Eukaryota; Metazoa; Mollusca; Gastropoda; Trochida; Trochidae
Description: partial 16S ribosomal RNA
Rfam family: Bacterial large subunit ribosomal RNA
Source: RNAcentral